AUGAGUCAGCAGAUUUCCAUAGAGCAUGACUUUGCAUCAGCAGCACCAUGCUCCAGUGCUCUGGGAGAGUUUAUAGUCCUGAGAGUUGAAGACUGGAUGACUGACAGCUGUCCUUCAUCACAACAGAACACUUGGAAAUCUCCAGAGAAUCCAACUCCUCUCCUCUAUGAACAUCUGUCCCUCUGGAAUGAAGCCCACAAAAGCAUCAAGCUGCUUUCUGCUUUUGUCUCCUCAGAGUCCAGAGGUCAGGUCACAGUGACUCAGUCUGCAGCAGUGAGCUCUGCUGUGGGACGCUCCGUCUCCAUCUCAUGUAGGACCAGUCAGGGAGUAAAUGGCAACCGUUUAUCCUGGUACCAACAGAAAGAUGGACAACCUCCUAAACUCCUCAUUUAUGAUGCUACCCGCCGACAAUCAGGAAUCUCAGAUCGUUUUUCAGGCAGUGGAUCUGGAUCUGACUUCACUCUGACCAUCAGUGGAGUUCAGGCUGAAGAUGCUGCAGUUUAUUACUGUGCGAGUGUUCAUUAUAUAAACAGCCAGUGGAUGUUCACACAGUGAAAACCCGUCGUACAAAAACCUCCCUCAGUCAGGCUGAACAGAAACUAACAGCUGGAAGCUUCAGCAGUUCACUGAUGACAUAAACACGUGUAGCAACACUUUCAUCCUUCAAAACACUAAAUAUGAUAUUUCAUCUUAAUAUAAAAAUAAUUAAAUGUGCUGAAUUUAAUAAACCAUUUAGAUUUUAAAGAGUUGAUGAUUUUUUGUUAAAUCAGAGAAAAAAUUAAUGUAUGAAUAAAUAACUGAAAAGAAUGAAAUUGGUGGACAUAAAUA
Non-coding RNA from Nothobranchius furzeri (turquoise killifish), 828 nucleotides. The record is from the annotation of a RefSeq genome assembly. NCBI's taxonomy places the organism in Eukaryota, Metazoa, Chordata, Actinopteri, Cyprinodontiformes, Nothobranchiidae.